This 461-nucleotide ribosomal RNA is filed under the name uncultured bacterium. RNAcentral describes it as "bacterial SSU rRNA". It matches the Rfam family "Bacterial small subunit ribosomal RNA", at positions 1 to 507 of the family's 1533-position model. The record is from RNAcentral.
AGUACAGACGAGUUUGAUCCUGGCUCAGAACGAACGCUGGCGGCAGGCCCAACACAUGCAAGUCGAGCGCGCCCUUCGGGGUGAGCGGCGGACGGGUGAGUAACGCGUGGGAACGUGCCCUUUGCUACGGAAUAGUCUCGGGAAACUGGGGGUAAUACCGUAUGUGCCCUUCGGGGGAAAGAUUUAUCGGCAAAGGAUCGGCCCGCGUUGGAUUAGGUAGUUGGUGGGGUAAUGGCCCACCAAGCCGACGAUCCAUAGCUGGUUUGAGAGGAUGAUCAGCCACACUGGGACUGAGACACGGCCCAGACUCCUACGGGAGGCAGCAGUGGGGAAUCUUAGACAAUGGGCGCAAGCCUGAUCUAGCCAUGCCGCGUGAGCGAUGAAGGCCUUAGGGUUGUAAAGCUCUUUCGUGGGGGAAGAUAAUGACUGUACCCCAAGAAGAAGCCCCGGCUAACUCCGUG